Molecule: long non-coding RNA, 687 nt
Filed under: Setaria viridis
Lineage: Eukaryota; Viridiplantae; Streptophyta; Magnoliopsida; Poales; Poaceae
Description: long non-coding RNA (SVIR_LNC006449)
Source: RNAcentral
UGCUUUCAAUAAUAUACGUAUAUUUGGUAUUUUGGGCACCGACACAACCACCAUGAACAUGUGUUACAAGUCAGACAACAAACACGUCGAUGCUUCUUGCUGUCAACACAUGAACGCAUGACAAAUUAUUCAUACUAUAAGCACGGUAGUGGUACUGGUAAGUAAACAGCUGCGCAACACAGGUGCACACAGGUGUGUUGCUCUAGGUUCAUUUGCGUGCAAGCUCACGUUCAGGCGGGGGCACCCACGCAUUCGAUGGGGCCAAAGACUAAGCCGAUGAUGGUGGGAGCAUAGCACACGCAAGUGCGUGGUGCGAUGACGAUACCAGGGCCACCGCUGCUCGGAGAGUAAAUGCUAGGACUCAGAACGAUGCCUCUUUCAGCAUACUCUGGAAUGGCUUUUAGCAGCUCGAGUAAGUUUUUGAAACCGGGAGGACAGAAAGCUUGGGAUGGCGCCGGUGAAGGUGUCGGUACAGGCGUCGGAGCAGGUGUCGGUGCAGACCGCGGAACCGGUGCUGGUGGCCAUGCUUGGGCUUGCUUGGAAGCCGCGAGCAUGAGAGUCACGGCGACGAACAGGGAUGCCGGGGAACCUAUGGAUGACUUGGAUGCCAUUGCUGGCUGCGGAUGUUAUCUCAACCGUGUCUGUGCCUUCAAGUGUUACCCAUCUUACCAUGUGUUUAUAUAUAGG